This 484-nucleotide ribosomal RNA is filed under the name uncultured bacterium. RNAcentral's name for it is "partial 16S ribosomal RNA". It matches the Rfam family "Bacterial small subunit ribosomal RNA", at positions 30 to 507 of the family's 1533-position model. The record is from RNAcentral.
AUUGAACGCUGGCGGCAGGCCUAACACAUGCAAGUCGAGCGGAUGAAGGGAGCUUGCUCCUGGAUUCAGCGGCGGACGGGUGAGUAAUGCCUAGGAAUCUGCCUGGUAGUGGGGGAUAACGUCCGGAAACGGGCGCUAAUACCGCAUACGUCCUGAGGGAGAAAGUGGGGGAUCUUCGGACCUCACGCUAUCAGAUGAGCCUAGGUCGGAUUAGCUAGUUGGUGGGGUAAAGGCCUACCAAGGCGACGAUCCGUAACUGGUCUGAGAGGAUGAUCUGUCACACUGGAACUGAGACACGGUCCAGACUCCUACGGGAGGCAGCAGUGGGGAAUAUUGGACAAUGGGCGAAAGCCUGAUCCAGCCAUGCCGCGUGUGUGAAGAAGGUCUUCGGAUUGUAAAGCACUUUAAGUUGGGAGGAAGGGCAGUAAGUUAAUACCUUGCUGUUUUGACGUUACCAACAGAAUAAGCACCGCCUAACUUCGUG